AAAACGUCUAUCGACUGAAAGCAAAAUCAUCGGAUUGCAUCAAAACCCCGAGUCCGAAGGUCGGAAAACCCUAGAAUUUGAAGGACUCACCAGAAUAAGACCAGAGAUGUCGGAAAAUCACCCAAAACAUCUACUGAUACAUGAUCGGAGCCUCAAAAAGUUAGAAAAGUCCCGAUUAUCUGAUUAAUCAUUCAUCGAAAA
This 201-nucleotide long non-coding RNA is filed under the name Nicotiana benthamiana. Its description in RNAcentral is "long non-coding RNA (NBEN_LNC014238)". The record is from RNAcentral. Lineage: Eukaryota; Viridiplantae; Streptophyta; Magnoliopsida; Solanales; Solanaceae.